CCUACGGGAGGCAGCAGUGGGGAAUAUUGCACAAUGGGCGAAAGCCUGAUGCAGCGACGCCGCGUGAGGGAUGACGGCCUUCGGGUUGUAAACCUCUUUCAGCAGGGAAGAAGCGCAAGUGACGGUACCUGCAGAAGAAGCACCGGCUAACUACGUGCCAGCAGCCGCGGUAAUACGUAGGGUGCGAGCGUUGUCCGGAAUUAUUGGGCGUAAAGAGCUCGUAGGCGGUCUGUCACGUCGGAUGUGAAAGCCCGGGGCUUAACCCCGGGUCUGCAUUCGAUACGGGCAGACUAGAGUGUGGUAGGGGAGAUCGGAAUUCCUGGUGUAGCGGUGAAAUGCGCAGAUAUCAGGAGGAACGCCGGUGGCGAAGGCGGAUCUCUGGGCCAUUACUGACGCUGAGGAGCGAAAGCGUGGGGAGCGAACAGGAUUAGAUACCCUGGUAGUCCACGCCGUAAACGUUGGGAACUAGGUGUUGGCGACAUUCCACGUCGUCGGUGCCGCAGCUAACGCAUUAAGUUCCCCGCCUGGGGAGUACGGCCGCAAGGCUAAAACUCAAAGGAAUUGACGG
This 568-nucleotide ribosomal RNA is filed under the name uncultured bacterium. RNAcentral describes it as "bacterial SSU rRNA". It matches the Rfam family "Bacterial small subunit ribosomal RNA", at positions 338 to 916 of the family's 1533-position model. The record is from RNAcentral.